This 499-nucleotide ribosomal RNA is filed under the name uncultured bacterium. Its description in RNAcentral is "bacterial SSU rRNA". It matches the Rfam family "Bacterial small subunit ribosomal RNA", at positions 370 to 887 of the family's 1533-position model. The record is from RNAcentral.
AAUGGGGGAAACCCUGACGCAGCACGCCGCGUGGAGGAUGAAGCCCCUUGGGGCGUAACUCCUUUCGACCAAGACGAUAAUGACGGUACUGGUGGAAGAAGCACCGGCUAACUCUGUGCCAGCAGCCGCGGUAAUACAGAGGGUGCGAGCGUUGUUCGGAAUUAUUGGGCGUAAAGGGCGCGUAGGCGGUGCCACAAGUCACCUGUGAAAUCCCCGGGCUUAACUCGGGGCCUGCAGGCGAAACUGUGGUGCUGGAGUAUGGGAGAGGUGCGUGGGAUUCCCGGUGUAGCGGUGAAAUGCGUAGAUAUCGGGAGGAACACCUGUGGCGAAAGCGGCGCACUGGACCAUAACUGACGCUGAGGCGCGAAAGCUAGGGGAGCAAACAGGAUUAGAUACCCUGGUAGUCCUAGCCCUAAACGAUGAUUGCUUGGUGUAGCAGGUACCCAAUCCUGCUGUGCCGCAGCUAACGCGAUAAGCAAUCCGCCUGGGGAGUACGGUC